This 480-nucleotide ribosomal RNA is filed under the name Escherichia coli. Its description in RNAcentral is "bacterial SSU rRNA". It matches the Rfam family "Bacterial small subunit ribosomal RNA", at positions 1065 to 1533 of the family's 1533-position model. Lineage: Bacteria; Pseudomonadati; Pseudomonadota; Gammaproteobacteria; Enterobacterales; Enterobacteriaceae. The record is from RNAcentral.
UUGUGAAAUGUUGGGUUAAGUCCCGCAACGAGCGCAACCCUUAUCCUUUGUUGCCAGCGGUCCGGCCGGGAACUCAAAGGAGACUGCCAGUGAUAAACUGGAGGAAGGUGGGGAUGACGUCAAGUCAUCAUGGCCCUUACGACCAGGGCUACACACGUGCUACAAUGGCGCAUACAAAGAGAAGCGACCUCGCGAGAGCAAGCGGACCUCAUAAAGUGCGUCGUAGUCCGGAUUGGAGUCUGCAACUCGACUCCAUGAAGUCGGAAUCGCUAGUAAUCGUGGAUCAGAAUGCCACGGUGAAUACGUUCCCGGGCCUUGUACACACCGCCCGUCACACCAUGGGAGUGGGUUGCAAAAGAAGUAGGUAGCUUAACCUUCGGGAGGGCGCUUACCACUUUGUGAUUCAUGACUGGGGUGAAGUCGUAACAAGGUAACCGUAGGGGAACCUGCGGUUGGAUCACCUCCUUACCUUAAAGAAGC